RNAcentral lists this ribosomal RNA (1366 nucleotides) under Streptomyces sp. ZEA17I. Its description in RNAcentral is "bacterial LSU rRNA". It matches the Rfam family "Bacterial large subunit ribosomal RNA", at positions 1590 to 2925 of the family's 2925-position model. Lineage: Bacteria; Bacillati; Actinomycetota; Actinomycetes; Kitasatosporales; Streptomycetaceae. The record is from RNAcentral.
GUGGAUGAUCCUAUGCUGUCGAGAAAAGCCUCUAGCGAGUUUCAUGGCGGCCCGUACCCUAAACCGACUCAGGUGGUCAGGUAGAGAAUACCGAGGCGUUCGGGUGAACUAUGGUUAAGGAACUCGGCAAAAUGCCCCCGUAACUUCGGGAGAAGGGGGGCCACGCCUGGUGAUCGGACUUGCUCCGUGAGCUGGGGGUGGCCGCAGAGACCAGCGAGAAGCGACUGUUUACUAAAAACACAGGUCCGUGCGAAGCCGUAAGGCGAUGUAUACGGACUGACGCCUGCCCGGUGCUGGAACGUUAAGGGGACCGGUUAGCUGCUCUUCGGGGUGGCGAAGCUGAGAACUUAAGCGCCAGUAAACGGCGGUGGUAACUAUAACCAUCCUAAGGUAGCGAAAUUCCUUGUCGGGUAAGUUCCGACCUGCACGAAUGGCGUAACGACUUCUCGACUGUCUCAACCAUAGGCCCGGUGAAAUUGCACUACGAGUAAAGAUGCUCGUUUCGCGCAGCAGGACGGAAAGACCCCGGGACCUUUACUAUAGUUUGAUAUUGGUGUUCGGUUCGGCUUGUGUAGGAUAGGUGGGAGACUGUGAAGCGGCCACGCCAGUGGUUGUGGAGUCGUCGUUGAAAUACCACUCUGGUCGUGCUGGAUGUCUAACCUGGGUCCGUGAUCCGGAUCAGGGACAGUGUCUGAUGGGUAGUUUAACUGGGGCGGUUGCCUCCUAAAGAGUAACGGAGGCGCCCAAAGGUUCCCUCAGCCUGGUUGGUAAUCAGGUGUUGAGUGUAAGUGCACAAGGGAGCUUGACUGUGAGACCGACGGGUCGAGCAGGGACGAAAGUCGGGACUAGUGAUCCGGCAGUGGCUUGUGGAAGCGCUGUCGCUCAACGGAUAAAAGGUACCCCGGGGAUAACAGGCUGAUCUUCCCCAAGAGUCCAUAUCGACGGGAUGGUUUGGCACCUCGAUGUCGGCUCGUCGCAUCCUGGGGCUGGAGUCGGUCCCAAGGGUUGGGCUGUUCGCCCAUUAAAGCGGUACGCGAGCUGGGUUUAGAACGUCGUGAGACAGUUCGGUCCCUAUCCGCUGUGCGCGUAGGAAUAUUGAGAAGGGCUGUCCCUAGUACGAGAGGACCGGGACGGACGAACCUCUGGUGUGCCAGUUGUUCUGCCAAGGGCAUGGCUGGUUGGCUACGUUCGGAAAGGAUAACCGCUGAAAGCAUCUAAGCGGGAAGCCUGCUUCGAGAUGAGUAUUCCCACCUCCUUUGAGGGGUUAAGGCUCCCAGUAGACGACUGGGUUGAUAGGCCAGAUGUGGAAGCCCUGUGAGGGGUGGAGCUGACUGGUACUAAUAGGCCGAGGGCUUGUCCUCAGUUG